AUCAAAGCCCAUGACAAAUGCACA
This 24-nucleotide non-coding RNA is filed under the name Gossypium hirsutum (cotton). The record is from RNAcentral. Lineage: Eukaryota; Viridiplantae; Streptophyta; Magnoliopsida; Malvales; Malvaceae.